This 292-nucleotide ribosomal RNA is filed under the name uncultured bacterium. RNAcentral's name for it is "partial 16S ribosomal RNA". It matches the Rfam family "Bacterial small subunit ribosomal RNA", at positions 505 to 796 of the family's 1533-position model. The record is from RNAcentral.
GUGUCAGCCGCCGCGGUAAUACGUAGGGGGCGAGCGUUGUCCGGAGUUACUGGGCGUAAAGGGCACGCAGGCGGUGCGGCGCGUUUCGCGUGACAGCGGGUGGCUCAACUACCCGAGGAUGCGAAAGACGGCGGCACUUGAGGGCCAGAGAGGGACACGGAAUUCCGGGUGGAGUGGUGAAAUGCGUAGAGAUCCGGAGGAACACCGAAGGCGAAGGCAGUGUCCUGGCUGGUGACUGACGCUGAGGUGCGAAAGCUAGGGGAGCGAACGGGAUUAGAUACCCGCGUAGUCC